GGGCAGCCAAGUCGUGAGGCGGAGCUAAUCCCUUUAAAGCCAUUCUCAGUUCGGAUGUAGGCUGAAACUCGCCUACAUGAAGCUGGAGUUACUAGUAAUCGCAGAUCAGAAUGCUGCGGUGAAUGCGUUCCCGGGUCUUGUACACACCGCCCGUCACACCACGGAAGUUGGGGGCGCCCGAAGCCACUUAGCUAACCCUUUUGGGAAGCGAGUGUCGAAGGUGAAAUCAAUAACUGGGGCGAAGUCGUAACAAGGUAAC
This 259-nucleotide ribosomal RNA is filed under the name uncultured bacterium. RNAcentral describes it as "partial 16S ribosomal RNA". It matches the Rfam family "Bacterial small subunit ribosomal RNA", at positions 1244 to 1500 of the family's 1533-position model. The record is from RNAcentral.